Molecule: RNA transcript, 4467 nt
Organism: Trichosurus vulpecula (common brushtail)
Lineage: Eukaryota; Metazoa; Chordata; Mammalia; Diprotodontia; Phalangeridae
Gene: RAP2C
Gene name: RAP2C, member of RAS oncogene family
Exons: 4
Source: RefSeq, a predicted model, not a curated record
AGGGAAACCCUUCCGGGCGUGGGGGAGGACUGGCCAGGCUAGGGCAGGGCCGGCGGAGCCAGGACGGAGCUGAGCGAGGUGGGCUCGGCCCGACCGACUGACCAUUGGAGCCGCCGAGCCGGGGCAGGGGCCGUCUCUGCAGCCGCCGGUCGGCCCCCUCCCCCAUCCCCUCCCCCUGCCCGCCCCCUCCCUCCCUCCUUCCCUGCCUUCCUCUCUCAGUCUUUCUCACCCUGCCCCUCCGCCAGCGACCGGGCAGACGCCCGCCAGACCUGCUCGGACCCGACUGGAACCGAGGCGGCGGCGGCGCUGACGGGGCGGACGAGGAGCGUGUACCCCGGGGCCGGGGCCGGACGGGAGGAGCCAGCCAGCGAGCCAGCAGCCAGCCCCAUUCCUCCAGCCUUGUCAGCCUCGGAGGGGGCGGCGGGAAAGGAAGGCUGGGCGCCCGGCCGGCGGCAAUCCCGCGGCGGCGGCAGGAAGCCGACCCGGGCUCGGGCCCCUUUGUGUGGAGGCGGCAGCAGUGACCGUGACCAUGCCAAUGCCCCCCCCAGCAGCAGCUGAGUGAGCCCCCCUGCUGCCUCUCCGGCUCCCCGCCCCCACCCGCAGCCCUUGCUUUCUGGAGUGGGGACCACUGGGCUCCUCCCCCCCACUCGUCCUCCCUCCUUCUCCUCCCCCUUCCCCUCCCCCCCAGUACCCACCCACCCUCUCCCGUGCGUCCCGUCCCGUCCCGUCUAACCGCCGCUCCUAGGAAGGGCAUUUCCAGCCCCCCCGGCAGGCAGCCAGCCGCACCCACCCCCACCCCUCCUGCCCCUCCUCCUCCUCCUCCUCCUCCUCCUCCUUCUCCUUCUCCUUCUUGCUCAGUCUGCCUGCUCCUGCCCUGCCUCUCGCUCUCUUUCCCCCUGCUGGGCUGCCGCCGCCUGUCUUGAACUUCCUCAUCUUCCCCCUGCUAGGCUAGGCCCUCUGCCUCUCAAACCCCAACUUGAGUUGGCAGAUUUCCGCCCACCGCCCCCACGGCCUCCAUAGCUGGUGGAGCCCCUUUUUAUGCUGCUGAGAGGGAGCUGGUGAAGGGAAGACUGAUGAGGGAAUACAAGGUGGUGGUGUUAGGGAGCGGAGGGGUGGGUAAGUCUGCCCUGACUGUGCAGUUUGUCACGGGCACCUUCAUUGAGAAAUAUGACCCCACCAUUGAGGAUUUUUACCGCAAGGAGAUCGAAGUGGACUCUUCUCCCUCUGUACUGGAAAUCCUGGACACCGCAGGGACUGAGCAGUUUGCUUCCAUGAGAGAUCUCUACAUCAAAAACGGCCAAGGUUUCAUCCUAGUUUAUAGCCUGGUUAACCAGCAGUCUUUCCAGGAUAUCAAGCCGAUGAGGGACCAGAUUGUCAGGGUGAAGAGAUAUGAAAAAGUCCCACUCAUCCUAGUGGGAAAUAAAGUGGAUCUGGAAUCAGAAAGGGAGGUUUUGACUGCAGAAGGCAGAGCUUUGGCUCAGGAGUGGGGCUGCCCGUUCAUGGAGACAUCAGCCAAAAGUAAAACAAUGGUGGACGAACUGUUUGCAGAAAUCGUCAGGCAAAUGAACUAUGCAUCUCUGCCUGAGAAACAAGAUCAGUGUUGUACAACUUGCAUCAUCCAGUGAAGAAGCUAACCUCAUUCGUGGCCAUACAGAGCAGAUAAAACUCAGAGGGAAUUUGCACAGAUGCUGCUUUGGACAACUUGACAGCCUGGGUUGCAGAACUGAGCCUUGGUAAACCUGUCUCGAUAACAGCAUGUUGCCAUACACCUAAUUAAGUGCAUAAGGUCCACAGCCUUCAAGAUCCAUAGACCUUAACCAAGAAUGCUUAGCACGUUUACCAUAAGUUAAAAUAGAUUCUUUAUCAAUCAGUCCUUUUGUAGCUUUCUAAGUUCUUAUUAAUGGUUAAUAUGCAAGGGUUCAUUUUUAAUAUUUUAAUUGAUUUCUUUAAUCAAUUUCUGAACUUGUAUUUAUUAAAUACUUAAACUCAGUAUUACCUACUCAAUGCCUUUUAAAAGUUUUAAUGGAGAAUAAAUUGAGCCUUAAACAAGUGGUUACUUCUGUAUAUUACCUCGCUCCAGUGCUUCAAUCUAUUUGCGAAAAUAUUUGUUUCCUGAAAUGGUUGGUCGAUAUUUUGAGACUUUAUGUUUACGUGUGACAGUGUUGUAAAAAACUAGAGAUCCUAUCUUACCUGGAUGGAUAUAAUAUCCCUUUUCUCAUCUGAUGCAGCCCCGUGAUAGGGUGCUGUAACUGACACAUUCAGAAGGUGGAAAUUGCAAUUUGAAGUUGACUGUAAUAUUUAGUUGGAGGGGUUUUCAUGAUUUUUUUAGUGUCAUUUGCAACAUUGAGUUGCAGCUGAAACAUUUUCCCUUCUGUGAAGUUCUAAAUUUAGUUAUGACCUACUUUUUACAAUGCCUUUGAAAAGGGAUAUUGUAUUCUAGGUAAAUUAAUUUCAUAUACCUGCACUCAAAUAUCUCAGCUUUGCCUGGCAGGUUAGUAAUUUACAUCUAGUCAGUUUCUGCACAUGUAAAGUGAAUGCAAAUAAAAUGAUUUUACAUUUUAUAGUUAAUACUUGUCUUUCUGAACAAUGUUUUAAAGCAAUAUUUGUUAACAUUUUCUUGCACUGUCACAAUUGCUUUUUUUUAUUAUUUCCCAGUAAACAGGUUAGCAACAGAGACAAAAAUCAGUGUAAGGUAAGGGGGGAAGGCACCCAUUUUUUUCCAGUGCUCUGAAUUGCAAAUGCGCUCUGAACAGCCAUUGACUUCCCUGUUGUUUACCUGAUCAACACAUUUUGUCUGAAUACUUGAACAUUUUAACAAUAACACAGGUAUUAAAACAGAAAAAAAUGUAUAAAGAAUAAAUGAUGCUUUUUCUUCCGUUUUAACAUGUGUACAAGCGAGCUUUUUCUAGCAGUGGUUUAAAGUUUUGUAAGUUUUCCAAUAUUUUGCUUUAUCUUCAGUUUUAGUUUUGUGUGUGCCUGUGUGUGUGGGCGUGUGCGAGUAUGUUUUGCAGAAGUGAUGAACUGCAGCUCACCUACUGCACCAAAGUUUUAGAUCUUAGGGGCCCAGCUUUAGUCAUUUGAACAUGCUUCUAAUGAAGAGAAAACCAAAAGAACUCUUUUGAUUUGUAAUAGCUAAAGACCGUUGGCCAAGAAAGCUCUAGUAUAUGCAGUGAUGGUAAUGGGAGGUGGGGCAAUUGAGCAUUUCAUUGUGUGCGAUAUUCAAGUACAUCAGCAGGUAUCACCAGGGCCUACUACAAUGCCAUCAAUGGUCUUUGUGACCAAUUUUUCUGGAACAAAAAUUCUGAUUGAACUGUUUGAUUCUCCAUGGUGGCGGACUUUAGUUCCCCAUGAAAUUCGCUAAAGUUAAACCUCCUAGUCUUAGAUGUGUAAUUUUAUGGUGAGAACGGAGGGCUAGGGAUGAUUGGAAUACUUUUCCCUAUUUAUAAACUGCUUGAAACCUGAUCAUUUCGGUUUGCACUUUAAUACCACACUUAAAACCAAACACUGUAUUCAAAGUAGGUUAGGUGGUGGUGGUGGUUAAUCUUUAUUACCUAUACUAAAUAAUAGGAGAUUCAAAUAAUUCAUGAAGAUUUUAGUUUUCUGAAAAUUGUAGGUUCUUUCCUUUGGGUAGUUUUCUCUCUCUCUCUCCUCCCCUUUCCCUCCCUCUCCCAUUUCCUUUCUCUACUUCUCCUUCCUCUUCUCAUUCCUCUGCCUCCUCUCCCCUUCCUCCUCCCUCUCUCCUUCCUUUGCCUUUCUCUCCUCUUCCCUCCUUCUACCUUCCCCUCCCUGUCUCAUCCAUUCUUUCCUGUCCUUCCAUUUGUUCUUUAUCCCUCUCUUCCUCCUUCCUCUUUCUCUCUUUCUCAAAAAAAAAGACAACAUUUUAUACAGGGGUGUGUGUGUGUGUGUGUGUGUGUGUGUGUCUGGUUGUGUGUGGGUGUGUGUGUAUGUAUAUGUGUGUGUACGAAUGCACACACAUACAUACACAGUAUUCAUUAUCAUUGACCUCAGCAGCAAAUUUGACUUGAAUUACCUUAGGAUGACAGGAAUAGGGGAAAUAGGAAGUAAAAAUGGUUUCUCCAGCACAGUUUUAAAAAAUAAAAGGGACCAAAAGUUAUUUUAGGCUUCCUCAAUAGAAUGCAUGUAAAGUUGCUUAUUAGGUUAAGAAACUGCUAUUAAAUGCAAUAUAGGUAUUGUCUUUGCCAGAUGUUCAGAUCAUUGCAGGGGGCUCAGAAACCACCAGAACCUAGCAUUGUGUAUCUCAUGUACUGUAGCUUUAUCAGUGAACAGCGAAAUCUGGAAUACCAAGUGCAAAAUUUGAACAAUGACCUAUAAAGAUUUGUAAAAUAAAGUUUUUCCAAUAGACUUCAUUCUCGUCAUUUUGUAAAAAAAACAAAAACAAACAAAAAACAACCUUACAGUCCACCUGUUUGUAACUUUUUUAAUAAAAUAGACAUCUGUAUUACUUGA